Long non-coding RNA from Homo sapiens (human), 534 nucleotides. RefSeq lists it as uncharacterized. NCBI's taxonomy places the organism in Eukaryota, Metazoa, Chordata, Mammalia, Primates, Hominidae. The transcript is spliced from 2 exons. The record is from RefSeq and is a predicted model, not a curated record.
AUCUGUGUGACUCGGCCCUCUUUGGGUCACAAAGGCCAGAUGAUCCAGCAGCUACCUGGAGGGUGGUUUAUGACAGCAGCCUGGUCCUAGUUCCCUUCUGCCACCAACAAGCUUGGCCAGCUUAGGCAGGAAUUCAACCAGAGGCUCAGCUGGGCAAUUCUAUUUCAGAUGGAGUCUACAGAGGUCACACAGUAGGAUUCAGCUGACAGAUAGACACAGAGGGUACGAUAUGGCUUUGCCCACAUGUAUGAUGCCUUGGUGGGAAUGGCUGGAAGACUGGACUCAGCUGGGAAUGGUAACGGGAGCCCCUACACGUGGCCUUUCCAGCAUGGUGGCCUCAGGUUGCUGGGCUUCUUCCAUGAUGGCUGGGGCUCCCAGAGUAAGUGCUGCAAGAAGCUGAGUGGAAGCUGCAGGGCUUCUUAUAACCUGGCCUUGAAAAUCCCAGAAUUUCACUUCUUUCAUAUUCUGUUGGUCCAGGAAGUCAUUAAGACCAGCGCAGGUUUAGAGGGAAUAAAACUAGACUCCACCUCUCAA